This 406-nucleotide ribosomal RNA is filed under the name uncultured bacterium. Its description in RNAcentral is "partial 16S ribosomal RNA". It matches the Rfam family "Bacterial small subunit ribosomal RNA", at positions 30 to 526 of the family's 1533-position model. The record is from RNAcentral.
AUUGAACGCUGGCGGCAGGCCUAACACAUGCAAGUCGAACGAGUGGCGGACGGGUGAGUAAUGUCUGGGAAACUGCCUGAUGGAGGGGGAUAACUACUGGAAACGGUAGCUAAUACCGCAUACCAUCGGAUGUGCCCAGAUGGGAUUAGCUAGUAGGUGGGGAAAAGGCUCACCUAGGCGACGAUCCAUAGCUGGUCUGAGAGGAUGACCAUGCACACUGGAACUGAUACACGGUCCAGACUCCUACGGGAGGCAGCAGUGGGGAAUAUUGCACUAUGGGCGCAAGCCUGAUGCAGCCAGGCCGCGUGUAUGAAGAAGGCUUUCGGGUUGGAAAGGACGUUCAGCGGGGAGGCGUUACCCGCAGAAGAAGCACCGGCUAACUCCGUGCCAGCAGCCGCGGUAAUUC